Molecule: long non-coding RNA, 751 nt
Filed under: Marmota monax (woodchuck)
Lineage: Eukaryota; Metazoa; Chordata; Mammalia; Rodentia; Sciuridae
Source: RNAcentral
CCUAACUUAACCUAGAUAAAUCUCAAUUGUUGAACCCACUGAAGUUAAGGCUAAUAAUCUGGUCCUAAUCAGUAGCAAGAUUAGACCUCGGAGACUUGUGCCUCUAUUUUAUGUUUACUCAUACUUAUUACUUCCAGAAUAAACACCAUUGCUUCCAACCAAUGCACAUAGGUUCAAUCUUCUUGAGAAAAUUUCCUCUCUCUGAAAGUGGAAGUCCCUUGGAAUAAAGGUUACAGGCCUCAUAUCUACAAAGAGUGUGAACUAUGUCCCAUCCAUUCCUUUCCUUGAUGCUGUUCAUUGCACAUACUACAUUGUUUCUUGCAAUAAUUUGGCACAAAUACCUAGGCUAUACUUGUCAAAGGAAAGGAGAACAUGGUAAUUAAUAACACAACUCUCAGUAAAUUAAUCUUUCCCCUUUCCGAUUUCACUUCGAGCAAAGUGCACGGCAACAUAACAGACUAUACCCUGCCUCAGCCUUCAAGUAAUAAUCCACCCCAACAACUCUACUGAAAGAGCAAUUAGUUGAAUUGUAUAUUGCAAGCCAAGCAAAUCUUUCCAUGAUAAAAGAACUUGUUUCAUGUUAUCUUUUUCUUUUGCAUGCCAAAGAUUAGAAAACACAAAUUCCAGUGCCUUAAUUAUCUGUAUUACAAAUAACUGAUAGCUUACAGAUAUGCCCUCUCCUGUAAGAAACUGACAGUAAAGAAUUGAGAGACGAGUGCUUUAUUACAAAGACUCACCAUCUGUAUGUUUA